This 1148-nucleotide ribosomal RNA is filed under the name Salinivibrio sp. RNAcentral describes it as "bacterial SSU rRNA". It matches the Rfam family "Bacterial small subunit ribosomal RNA", at positions 45 to 1162 of the family's 1533-position model. Lineage: Bacteria; Pseudomonadati; Pseudomonadota; Gammaproteobacteria; Vibrionales; Vibrionaceae. The record is from RNAcentral.
CGCCAAUAACCCAAUGACAAGUCGAAGCGGAAACGGCAGUAUUGAAGCUUCGGUGGAUUUACUGGACGUCGAGCGGCGGACGGGUGAGUAACGGCUGGGAACCUGCCCUGACGAGGGGGAUAACCGUUGGAAACGACGGCUAAUACCGCAUAAUGUCUUGAUUCGUUAGAGUCAGGACCAAAGGUGGCCUCUACAUGUAAGCUAUCGCGUUGGGAUGGGCCCAGUUAGGAUUAGCUAGUUGGUAAGGUAAUGGCUUACCAAGGCAACGAUCCUUAGCUGGUUUGAGAGGAUGAUCAGCCACACUGGGACUGAAACACGGCCCAAACUCCUACGGGAGGCAGCAGUGGGGAAUAUUGCACAAUGGGGGAGACCCUGAUGCAGCCAUGCCGCGUGUGUGAAGAAGGCCUUCGGGUUGUAAAGCACUUUCAGCAGUGAGGAAGGUCGUGUACUUAAUACGUGCACGGCUUGACGUUAGCUGCAGAAGAAGCACCGGCUAACUCCGUGCCAGCAGCCGCGGUAAUACGGAGGGUGCGAGCGUUAAUCGGAAUUACUGGGCGUAAAGCGCAUGCAGGCGGUUUGUUAAGUCAGAUGUGAAAGCCCGGGGCUCAACCUCGGAACCGCAUUUGAAACUGGCAGGCUAGAGUCUUGUAGAGGGGGGUAGAAUUUCAGGUGUAGCGGUGAAAUGCGUAGAGAUCUGAAGGAAUACCAGUGGCGAAGGCGGCCCCCUGGACAAAGACUGACGCUCAGAUGCGAAAGCGUGGGUAGCAAACAGGAUUAGAUACCCUGGUAGUCCACGCCGUAAACGCUGUCUACUUGGAGGUUGAGGUUUUAGACUUUGGCUUUCGGCGCUAACGCAUUAAGUAGACCGCCUGGGGAGUACGGCCGCAAGGUUAAAACUCAAAUGAAUUGACGGGGGCCCGCACAAGCGGUGGAGCAUGUGGUUUAAUUCGAUGCAACGCGAAGAACCUUACCUACUCUUGAACAUCCAGCGAAGCUUUAGAAGAAUAGAGGCGUGCCUUUCAGGAGCGCUGAAAACAGUGCUGCAUGCUGUCGUCAGCUCGUGAUGUGAAUGUUGGCUAGUCCGCACGAGCGCAAUCUAUCCUGUGCAGUACGUAUGAUGCACUUCAGAGAAAGCUGGCGGGUGAUAC